UUGAAGAGUUUGAUCAUGGCUCAGAUUGAACGCUGGCGGCAGGCCUAACACAUGCAAGUCGAACGGUAACAGGAUGUGCUUGCACAUCGCUGACGAGUGGCGGACGGGUGAGUAAUGCUUGGGAACUUGCCUUUGCGAGGGGGAUAACAGUUGGAAACGACUGCUAAUACCGCAUAAUGUCUUCGGACCAAACGGGGCUUCGGCUCCGGCGCAAAGAGAGGCCCAAGUGAGAUUAGCUAGUUGGUAAGGUAACGGCUUACCAAGGCGACGAUCUCUAGCUGUUCUGAGAGGAAGAUCAGCCACACUGGGACUGAGACACGGCCCAGACUCCUACGGGAGGCAGCAGUGGGGAAUAUUGGACAAUGGGGGCAACCCUGAUCCAGCAAUGCCGCGUGUGUGAAGAAGGCCUUCGGGUUGUAAAGCACUUUCAAUAGGGAGGAAAAGCUAUGCGUUAAUAGCGUAUAGCCGUGACGUUACCUAUAGAAGAAGCACCGGCUAACUCCGUGCCAGCAGCCGCGGUAAUACGGAGGGUGCGAGCGUUAAUCGGAAUUACUGGGCGUAAAGCGCACGCAGGCGGUUUGUUAAGCUAGAUGUGAAAGCCCCGGGCUCAACCUGGGAUGGUCAUUUAGAACUGGCAGACUAGAGUCUUGGAGAGGGGAGUGGAAUUCCAGGUGUAGCGGUGAAAUGCGUAGA
RNAcentral lists this ribosomal RNA (693 nucleotides) under Symbiodinium sp. CCMP2430. RNAcentral describes it as "partial Bacterial small subunit ribosomal RNA". It matches the Rfam family "Bacterial small subunit ribosomal RNA", at positions 1 to 694 of the family's 1533-position model. Lineage: Eukaryota; Dinophyceae; Suessiales; Symbiodiniaceae. The record is from RNAcentral.